This 498-nucleotide ribosomal RNA is filed under the name uncultured bacterium. Its description in RNAcentral is "partial 16S ribosomal RNA". It matches the Rfam family "Bacterial small subunit ribosomal RNA", at positions 30 to 523 of the family's 1533-position model. The record is from RNAcentral.
AUUGAACGCUGGCGGCAUGCCUUACACAUGCAAGUCGAACGGUAACAGGUCUUCGGAUGCUGACGAGUGGCGAACGGGUGAGUAAUACAUCGGAACGUGCCUAGUAGUGGGGGAUAACUACUCGAAAGAGUGGCUAAUACCGCAUGAGAUCUACGGAUGAAAGCAGGGGAUCGCAAGACCUUGUGCUACUAGAGCGGCCGAUGGCAGAUUAGGUCGUUGGUGGGAUAAAAGCUUACCAAGCCGACGAUCUGUAGCUGGUCUGAGAGGACGAUCAGCCACACUGGGACUGAGACACGGCCCAGACUCCUACGGGAGGCAGCAGUGGGGAAUUUUGGACAAUGGGCGCAAGCCUGAUCCAGCAAUGCCGCGUGCAGGAUGAAGGCCUUCGGGUUGUAAACCGCUUUUGUACGGAACGAAAAGCCCUGGGUUAAUACCCUGGGGUCAUGACGGUACCGUAAGAAUAAGCACCGGCUAACUACGUGCCAGCCGCCGCCGUAA